AUGUGUUUGCUGUUGUUGUUUUCGCUAGACCACCAGCGUCAACUUUUGGCAUGUUUAUAAGGAGCUGUGUGUGUGUGUGUCAUAAACAAAGCAAUGAGCCAGGCAAAACUGCGAACUGGACAAAUUUCUGUUGCGUCUUGUCGCCAGUUAAAGUCCCUGCGGCACAAAGAUCGGAAGUUCUUCUGGCAGAAGCGUGGCAGCUACCAGCGGCAGGAAAUGCAGAUGGACAUGGAUACGGAAAGAAAGCUUAAGAGAUCUUAAACGAGGUCAACACGAACACAAACACAAACACAAAUACACAUGCAACAAUUGGCCAAGAUAUUAGUACGUAUUACGUAUUGUUUAGUUUGCACAUUAAAACAAUUGAAUAUCAACAAAUAAUAUUCUCUAUUGUCUUUUACGGCCCUUUUGAAUUGUCAACUAAAAUACAAAAUGAAAUUUGUUUGAUUGGAACAGGAAGACAGACACACACACACGCGCACGCAGGAGCACGAACCAAAAUACGCUCAACUUGUCAGACGAUACAACAACCGAAACGGGGCACGCGCGUUUGCAUAAUGACUUGAGUCGGGUUUAGUUUUAUGCCAAUUGCAGUUGACGCUUUUCGCGCUGCCAACGUCGCUGCUUCCCGAUGUUGUUGUUGCUGUCGCAGCUCUGGCCAGCAAAAUAGUCUGGGCAAAAAAUCUCAAGAUGCGCUGUCAGUUGGCAGCGCAUGCAUUCAAAUAUCAGCAGACACACUUACAUACAAUUACUUCAUAUAUUGUACAUAAUCGUGCUAAAACAACAACACCAGAAGAAGAAGAACGGCUACAAUAUUUGACAGCAAACAAAACAGAAAACACUUUCAAAUAAUAAACACAUAUUUAGCUCACAUCAGAUCAACUGCCCGCAAA
Drosophila virilis is the source of this 893-nucleotide non-coding RNA. Lineage: Eukaryota; Metazoa; Arthropoda; Insecta; Diptera; Drosophilidae. The record is from RefSeq and is a predicted model, not a curated record.